GAUGAACGCUAGCGACAGGCUUAACACAUGCAAGUCGAGGGGCAGCGGUGGUGAAGGCUUGCCUUUACCAGCCGGCGACCGGCGCACGGGUGAGUAACACGUAUGCAACCUGCCUGCCACAGCCGGAUAAUCGGGAGAAAUCCCGUCUAAUACGGCAUAAUGCAUCGACGGGACAUCCUGUUGGUGCCAAAGGUUGAUUCCGGUGGCGGAUGGGCAUGCGUCGCAUUAGUUAGUUGGCGGUGUAACGGACCACCAAGACGACGAUGCGUAGGGGUUCUGAGAGGAAGGUCCCCCACACUGGUACUGAGACACGGACCAGACUCCUACGGGAGGCAGCAGUGAGGAAUAUUGGUCAAUGGGCGGGAGCCUGAACCAGCCAAGUCGCGUGAGGGAUGACGGCCCUAUGGGUUGUAAACCUCUUUUGCCGGGGAGCAAAGUGCCGCACGUGUGCGGUUUGGAGAGUACCCGGAGAAAAAGCAUCGGCUAACUCCGUGCCAGCAGCCGCGGUAAUACGGAGGAUGCGAGCGUUAUCCGGAUUUAUUGGGUUUAAAGGGUGCGUAGGCGGACGCUUAAGUCAGCGGUAAAAUUGCGGGGCUCAACCUCGUCGAGCCGUUGAAACUGGGUGCCUUGAGUGGGCGAGAAGUACGCGGAAUGCGUGGUGUAGCGGUGAAAUGCAUAGAUAUCACGCAGAACUCCGAUUGCGAAGGCAGCGUACCGGCGCCCAACUGACGCUGAAGCACGAAGGCGUGGGUAUCGAACAGGAUUAGAUACCCUGGUAGUCCACGCAGUAAACGAUGAAUGCUAGUUGUCCGGGGCGAUUGAGUUCUGGGUGACACAGCGAAAGCGUUAAGCAUUCCACCUGGGGAGUACGCCGGCAACGGUGAAACUCAAAGGAAUUGACGGGGGCCCGCACAAGCGGAGGAACAUGUGGUUUAAUUCGAUGAUACGCGAGGAACCUUACCCGGGCUCAAACGCAGGAGGGAUGUUUUUGAAAGGAGGCAGCCAGCAAUGGUCUCCUGCGAGGUGCUGCAUGGUUGUCGUCAGCUCGUGCCGUGAGGUGUCGGCUUAAGUGCCAUAACGAGCGCAACCCCUACCUACAGUUGCCAUCGCGUGAUGGCGGGCACUCUGUGGGGACUGCCUGCGCAAGCAGUGAGGAAGGCGGGGAUGACGUCAAAUCAGCACGGCCCUUACGUCCGGGGCGACACACGUGUUACAAUGGCAGGUACAGCGGGAAGCCACCCGGCGACGGGGCGCGGAACCCGAAAACCUGUCUCAGUUCGGAUUGGAGUCUGCAACCCGACUCCAUGAAGCUGGAUUCGCUAGUAAUCGCGCAUCAGCCACGGCGCGGUGAAUACGUUCCCGGGCCUUGUACACACCGCCCGUCAAGCCAUGGAAGCCGGGGGUGCCUGAAGUGCGUGACCGCAAGGAGCGCCCUAGGGUAAAACCGGUGACUGGGGCUAAGUCGUAACAAGGUAGCCGUACCGGAAGGUGCGGCUGGAACACCUCCUUUCUGGAGACGUCAUGUGUCCGGUAACUCCGGGCAGUCGGACGGCAGUCUGUUCCCGAUCACAGACCGUUACAACGGCAUAUAGCCCUCCAUACAGAAUGAUUCUGCCGAUUAGGUUCGGCGUCGGAGUCGAUUGAAUGGAAGAUGACGGAGUUUUCACUGAUACGCCUCAGGAUAUGAAAGGCGUGCUGCUGCUUCGGGCUCUAUUGACCUACAACGGCUUGAAAUGGCGUAUUCCGGUUUUUCGCUGGGAUGACAGGUGUCGGCGGCGAUGAUAUCGCCGGUGGCGACAGCGAAACGCCCGUUCAACCGUCACGGGGGAUUAGCUCAGCUGGCUAGAGCAUCUGCUUUGCAAGCAGAGGGUCAACGGUUCGAAUCCGUUAUUCUCCACCGUAAACAAAGAGAACAUUGACAUACUGGAAGCGAUAGUCAUUGAUGACGCAAGUCAGAGAUGACAAGCAAUUGACAAUAGAAACGAGUGAAAUCAUCGGGCGUAUGUGCUUUUUGAGCACGACGAACGACGGAUAUCUGACGUAGAGUCAAAAGGCGAAGUAAAAGGAAAGGAGAGAAGGGCACAUGAAGGAUGCCUUGGCUCUCGGAGGCGACGAAGGACGUGACAAGCUGCGAUAAGCUGCGGUUGGAGGCAAAUACUCAUCAAGCCGCAGAUCUCCGAAUGGGGCAACCCGGCGCGCGAAGAGUGCGUCACCGGUCUGUGACCGGAGCGAACCCGGGGAACUGAAACAUCUCAGUACCCGGAGGAAGAGAAAACAAUAGUGAUUGCGCAAGUAGUGGCGAGCGAACGCGCAAUAGCCCAAACCGCCGGCGUGGCGACGCGCCUGGCGGGGUUGUAGGACCGCCGGUAAAGUGAUGGAAUACGGUUAGCCGAACACGCUGGAAAGCGUGGCCAUAGCGGGUGACAGCCCCUUAGGCGAAAACUGUGAUUCCGGGCGAGGCGGCACCUGAGUAGCGCGGGACACGAGAAAUCCUGUGUGAAUCUGCGGGGCCCAUCCCGUAAGGCUAAAUACUACCGAGAGACCGAUAGCGAACC
Molecule: ribosomal RNA, 2555 nt
Filed under: uncultured Muribaculum sp.
Lineage: Bacteria; Pseudomonadati; Bacteroidota; Bacteroidia; Bacteroidales; Muribaculaceae
Description: partial contains 16S ribosomal RNA, 16S-23S ribosomal RNA intergenic spacer, and 23S ribosomal RNA
Rfam family: Bacterial small subunit ribosomal RNA (bases 1-1510)
Source: RNAcentral